Long non-coding RNA from Mustela erminea (ermine), 789 nucleotides. RefSeq lists it as uncharacterized. The record is from RefSeq and is a predicted model, not a curated record. Lineage: Eukaryota; Metazoa; Chordata; Mammalia; Carnivora; Mustelidae. The transcript has 4 exons.
GACAGGACUGGAGGAGAUUAUGCUGAGUGAAAUGUCAGACGCUGCUUCUACUCAGGAGCAGAAGUCCAGAUGGUCUUACUUGGUGGCUGAAACCAAUUUUGAUCGAGGCCUCUCUACCUACUUCUUUCAGCCCCAAACUUCACCGAACGUUUUGUGUUAAAAACAAAGGGCUAACAGAACUCAGCAAAAACAUUCUCCAGCAACUUCAGAUCCCACUUUUAUCAGGAUGGGGGGUCCUACCUGAGGUUGCCCACCUUCUGGCAGCUGGAAGGGCUUAUAUGAAGAAAAGCUUGCUGGCCAUGUUCAAACCACGUGGCCACCUUCAAGACACACAAACAGGAGGAGCUGUGGAAAGAUCCACACCGACGUAUACAUCCUUUUCCUUGGCCAUCACGAUAUAGUAGACCCCAGAAUGAAAGGAAAGUCUUAGUAAGUCAGAUAGAUAAUCUGUUCUUUGGCUUUUGGAUUUCAUUGUUCAUGGAGGGGGUAAGACCUCUUCGAUACCUUGGAAGCAGACUGAAUUUCUUGAGUAGAGGAUAGGGAAACUUUUGCUGAGUUUUGAUCAUUUGUGUAUCCCCAAGUUCCUCCACACAAGCAGACUGUGAAUGAAAACAACUCCAAAGACAUGUAAGACUAUGGCUAAUUGUGUAUGCAGUCAAUACAAUUUACUCCGGAAGAAGCAGUUUGCUGUUUAUUCACUGGGGGGAGAAAAACCAGCUUGAUAACACUGACAGAAGAGGAGUAUUGUGGGGCAGGUUGAAAGAAAAUGUUAUUUAAAAUGCUUCUGAA